GGAAAUCAAGAGUCAUCCAAGCCCCGCCUGGACGUGCUGCUCCAUUAACCGGGGAAACCAGAGUUCAGUUCCACAAUGAUCAGUCACAUCUACUAGUUGUCCAUGAAAGCCAAUUGUCAAUUUAUGACGGAAAGCUUGAGUGCAUCCGCACGUGGUCCCCACGGGACUCCCUCUCUGCACCUGUUUCCUGUGCGAUAUACUCCUGCGAUGGCUUCUCAGUAUACACAGGUUUCUCUGAUGGUGCAGUUGGAGUUUUUGACUCCGACAGUCUGAGGCUUCGGUGCCGAAUCGCACCCUCUGCCUAUAUAUCGGCUUCUGUACAAAGC
This 326-nucleotide unclassified non-coding RNA is filed under the name Hevea brasiliensis (rubber tree). Lineage: Eukaryota; Viridiplantae; Streptophyta; Magnoliopsida; Malpighiales; Euphorbiaceae. The record is from RNAcentral.